AGGGAGACCGAAUCCGCUCAGAUCUGAAAGCAAGAAGCAAAUAAGAAAAGAGUAGGUCAACCCAAGGUCGUGCAAGGGAAAAAUGGAAUAAAACUUUCAAACUAUCUAGUCGGUUCGGAAUAAGUUAAAAGCUUAUCAAAAACAGACAAGGGCUAUUAGCUCAGCUGGUUAGAGCGCACGGCUGAUAACCGUGAGGUCUCUGGUUCAAGUCCAGAAUGGCCCACCUGAUCCAAGCCAUGUGUCGAAUAGAUCCAAGCAAAGCCAAAAAAAGAAAAAAGAUUCAGCACCUAAAUCUUGAAAAAGAAAGAAUGCUGGAUUAAGUUCCAGUCAGAACCUUGAAAACUGCAUAG
Molecule: transfer RNA, 350 nt
Filed under: uncultured cyanobacterium
Lineage: Bacteria; Bacillati; Cyanobacteriota
Description: partial 16S-23S ribosomal RNA intergenic spacer
Rfam family: tRNA (bases 150-223)
Source: RNAcentral